This 496-nucleotide ribosomal RNA is filed under the name uncultured bacterium. Its description in RNAcentral is "partial 16S ribosomal RNA". It matches the Rfam family "Bacterial small subunit ribosomal RNA", at positions 28 to 523 of the family's 1533-position model. The record is from RNAcentral.
GAUGAACGCUAGCGGCAGGCCUAAUACAUGCAAGUCGAGGGGUAUCCCGCUUUCGGGCGGGAGAGACCGGCGCACGGGUGCGUAACGCGUAUGCAACCUACCCAUAUCUGGGGGAUAGCCCGGAGAAAUCCGGAUUAACACCGCAUAAAAUCACAGUACGGCAUCGUACAAUUAUCAAAUAUUGAUAGGAUAUGGAUGGGCAUGCGUGUCAUUAGCUGGUUGGCGGGGUAACGGCCCACCAAGGCGACGAUGACUAGGGGAUCUGAGAGGAUGGCCCCCCACACUGGAACGGAGACACGGACCAGACUCCAACGGGAUGCAGCAGUAAGGAAUAUUGGUCAAUGGGCGGAAGCCUGAACCAGCCAUGCCGGGUGCAGGAAGACGGCCCUCUGGGUUGUAAACUGCUUUUAUUCGGGAAUAAACCUGCAUACGUGUAUGCAGCUGAACGUACCGAAGGAAUAAGGAUCGGCUAACUCCGUGCCAGCAGCCGCCGUAA